RNAcentral lists this ribosomal RNA (1372 nucleotides) under uncultured bacterium. RNAcentral describes it as "bacterial SSU rRNA". It matches the Rfam family "Bacterial small subunit ribosomal RNA", at positions 28 to 1381 of the family's 1533-position model. The record is from RNAcentral.
GAUGAACGCUGGCGGCGUGCCUAAUACAUGCAAGUCGAGCGAACGGACGAGAAGCUUGCUUCUCUGAUGUUAGCGGCGGACGGGUGAGUAACACGUGGAUAACCUACCUAUAAGACUGGGAUAACUUCGGGAAACCGGAGCUAAUACCGGAUAAUAUUUUGAACCGCAUGGUUCAAAAGUGAAAGACGGUCUUGCUGUCACUUAUAGAUGGAUCCGCGCUGCAUUAGCUAGUUGGUAAGGUAACGGCUUACCAAGGCAACGAUGCAUAGCCGACCUGAGAGGGUGAUCGGCCACACUGGAACUGAGACACGGUCCAGACUCCUACGGGAGGCAGCAGUAGGGAAUCUUCCGCAAUGGGCGAAAGCCUGACGGAGCAACGCCGCGUGAGUGAUGAAGGUCUUCGGAUCGUAAAACUCUGUUAUUAGGGAAGAACAUAUGUGUAAGUAACUGUGCACAUCUUGACGGUACCUAAUCAGAAAGCCACGGCUAACUACGUGCCAGCAGCCGCGGUAAUACGUAGGUGGCAAGCGUUAUCCGGAAUUAUUGGGCGUAAAGCGCGCGUAGGCGGUUUUUUAAGUCUGAUGUGAAAGCCCACGGCUCAACCGUGGAGGGUCAUUGGAAACUGGAAAACUUGAGUGCAGAAGAGGAAAGUGGAAUUCCAUGUGUAGCGGUGAAAUGCGCAGAGAUAUGGAGGAACACCAGUGGCGAAGGCGACUUUCUGGUCUGUAACUGACGCUGAUGUGCGAAAGCGUGGGGAUCAAACAGGAUUAGAUACCCUGGUAGUCCACGCCGUAAACGAUGAGUGCUAAGUGUUAGGGGGUUUCCGCCCCUUAGUGCUGCAGCUAACGCAUUAAGCACUCCGCCUGGGGAGUACGACCGCAAGGUUGAAACUCAAAGGAAUUGACGGGGACCCGCACAAGCGGUGGAGCAUGUGGUUUAAUUCGAAGCAACGCGAAGAACCUUACCAAAUCUUGACAUCCUUUGACAACUCUAGAGAUAGAGCCUUCCCCUUCGGGGGACAAAGUGACAGGUGGUGCAUGGUUGUCGUCAGCUCGUGUCGUGAGAUGUUGGGUUAAGUCCCGCAACGAGCGCAACCCUUAAGCUUAGUUGCCAUCAUUAAGUUGGGCACUCUAAGUUGACUGCCGGUGACAAACCGGAGGAAGGUGGGGAUGACGUCAAAUCAUCAUGCCCCUUAUGAUUUGGGCUACACACGUGCUACAAUGGACAAUACAAAGGGCAGCGAAACCGCGAGGUCAAGCAAAUCCCAUAAAGUUGUUCUCAGUUCGGAUUGUAGUCUGCAACUCGACUACAUGAAGCUGGAAUCGCUAGUAAUCGUGGAUCAGCAUGCUACGGUGAAUACGUUCCCGGGUCU